UUAACUACAGAGAUAGGCUUCAUAUUUUCUUUAAACCUUGGGUGAGCCCAUCCAAAAAUAUAUCUUCAAGUCUGAUCUAGCCUGUGGGUCACCCCUGCUAUUCUAGAUGUUCAUAUCGUGUGGUUUCUUUCCUCCACAUUAUGAUGGGCAUCUUCUUCCGUUUGUCCACUGACACCAUGACCUUGUUACCAUGACUUAGCCCUGAGGCCAGGGUGGCAGGCCAAAGAUGUUAAGAGUGCAGAAAGAACACACACCUGUCUAGUAGCUUAAGGUUGGAUCUCAGCUCCGCCUGCCAUCUAUUAGCUGAGCAAGGGGCACAAUUUAUCGGUUUCCUCAUUUAUAAACAUAUGCUACCCACCACCCAAGGUUGUGGUAAGAAAUAAAUGAGAUGACAGGUAUGAAAGGUUCAGCCCGUAGAAGAUGUUCAAAUACGAUAGCUUCCUUCUACUUGUUGUAGAUCUUACCUACUGUUCAAAACCAGAUGCAGGCUGCAGCCCCUCCAGCCUUCUCUGACCUCUCCAGCUCAUAGGGCACUUUCUUUUCUGAAUUUCAUUUGCCCUUCAUGGCUUGUGAAUUCAAACAAUCCUUGGCAUUACCAGGCAACUUUUCAUGUGUAUGUGCGAUACAUUGCCACAAUUUGGUCAUCAGCUCCCUAAAGACACUUUUCUUCUUCUCAUGAGCUUAAUUCCAUAUCUUUUACUAUUGAGUAGGCACUGCCUUGUGUGAAGCUUUUUCAUGACAACCAUGUAAGGAAGAGGGCUCCAUGAACUGCCCUCUAAUGAGGCAGCUGGCACACCAAAUUUGAUAACUGGAGAGAAAUCCGUAAACAUAUAGUGUUCCCGGUCACCAAGCUGACCAAGCAAGAUAGUGUGUAGAUGAUGAGACUUCAUCCCACUUCUACUUCUGUAAAAAUAAUGCAAAGUGCUAUUUUCCCAGGGAAAAUGUGGCCGACUGAAAAAUGUCCCCCUAAGAUAUCAGGUCCUCAUCCCUGAAAGCUGUGACUAUCUCCUUAAAUGAAAAAAUAUGUGAUUAAGUGAAGGAAUUGGACUUAGGGAGAUUAUUUUGGAUAGUCCAGAUGGGUCCUAAAUGCAAUCACAAAUGCCCUUUUAAGAGAUAGGCAGAGGGAGAUUUGACACAGACAGAAAAGAAGCCAAUGUGUGGGAAGAAGCAGAGAGGGAGAUUAGGCUGCUUCAGAAGAGAAGGCAGCCAUGGACGCUGAAUCAGAGAGAGAAAAAUGCUACGCUGUGAAGAUGGAGGAAGGGGCCAUGAUCCAAGGAAUACAAGGAAUGCAUCUCCAGACACUGGAAAAAGGCAAGGAAAUGGAGUCUCCUUGGGAGCCUCUGCAGAGAGUGCGUUGCUGCCAACACCUUGAUUUCAGCCCAUGGACACUGAUUUCAGACCUCUGAUCUCCAGAACUGUAAGAGAACAAAUGUGUGUUGUGGUGACCACCCGGAGGAGCAACCAGGCAGGGCAUUUUGACUCUGUAAGGACAGUGACACUGGCGCGAGCCAGACCUCUCCAGAAAUCAAACGGCCAGGUUCACGCGCCAGCAGGGACUGCUGGAAUGUUGCUUUGUUUCUGACUCUGAAUUUAUAGUCUCACUCCUCCUUCCCUGCCCUCCUGGAAUGCAAUUUAUUAUUGUGCAGACCUAGUGGCUUUUCUCCAACUUUAUUUCUUUUUUCAGAAAUAAACAAGGGUUUUACAGCUCCAUAGCCUCCCCAACGUUUGUUUGUUCUUUCCUCUGUACAGUGUGGGCCAUGUUUGUUCCCUGGAAAAGUCUCUUCCCUAAUUAUUUUCACAUUUCAACAGCUUUUGUUUCUUCUUUCUGUGAGGUUUAUGAAAAUGCUGAUGGUGGAUUUGCUUCAGGCUAAAUCGUACUGUAAACGUUUUCUCCUGGCACAUGGGAGCCUCGGUGACCCGGGGACCCUGUUGCUAUUCCUUAUUGUGUACCAUGCCAGAAGGAAGUUUUAAAAUCCUGAAACACUCUUGCUGAUGGCUCGAAGAUAAAUACAUAAAUUGGUAGUAUGGAGAAAAUCUGCUAAUCUUGUACAAGGAAACUUGGACAAUAUCAUGUAGGUAAGACCCAGCUGAGAAAAAGGCUGCCUUGAACACUUAGCUUUCAUUCUACGUUGAGAUCUUUCUGUCUCUGACCACAGACCGAAAUGUGUUAUGUUUUAAGGAAAUAAAGAUUUUUUAAA
Molecule: long non-coding RNA, 2198 nt
Organism: Sapajus apella (tufted capuchin)
Lineage: Eukaryota; Metazoa; Chordata; Mammalia; Primates; Cebidae
Exons: 2
Source: RefSeq, a predicted model, not a curated record